RNAcentral lists this ribosomal RNA (438 nucleotides) under uncultured bacterium. RNAcentral describes it as "partial 16S ribosomal RNA". It matches the Rfam family "Bacterial small subunit ribosomal RNA", at positions 339 to 795 of the family's 1533-position model. The record is from RNAcentral.
CUACGGGCGGCGGCAGUGAGGAAUAUUGCACAAUGGGGGGAACCCUGAUGCAGCAACGCCGCGUGGAGGAUGACGCAUUUCGGUGUGUAAACUCCUUUAUAUGUCAAGAAAAUGACGGUAGCAUAUGAAUAAGCACCGGCUAACUCCGUGCCAGCAGCCGCGGUAAUACGGAGGGUGCAAGCGUUACUCGGAAUCACUGGGCGUAAAGGACGCGUAGGCGGGUUGGAAAGUCAGGUGUGAAAUCCUACAGCUUAACUGUAGAACUGCACUUGAAACUUCUAAUCUAGAGUAUGGGAGGGGGAGAUGGAAUUAGUGGUGUAGGGGUAAAAUCCGUAGAUAUCACUAGGAAUACCUAAAGCGAAGGCGAUCUCCUGGAACAUUACUGACGCUAAGGCGUGAAAGCGUGGGGAGCAAACAGGAUUAGAUACCCUAGUAGUC